AUACUUACCUGGAAGGGGAAAUAAUCAUGACCAUGAAGGUGGUUUUCUCAGGCUAUGGCUCAUCUAUUGCACUCCUGGACGUGCUGACCCCUGAAAUGUCCCAAAAUGCAGGAAACUCAACUGCAUAAUUUGUGAAAGUAGAGGACUACAUUCGCAUCCUUCCCUG
This is a non-coding RNA of Cricetulus griseus (Chinese hamster), 166 nucleotides long. Lineage: Eukaryota; Metazoa; Chordata; Mammalia; Rodentia; Cricetidae. The record is from Rfam.